Non-coding RNA from Acanthosepion pharaonis, 98 nucleotides. Lineage: Eukaryota; Metazoa; Mollusca; Cephalopoda; Sepiida; Sepiidae. The record is from the annotation of a GenBank genome assembly.
ACUGCCAUAUCACGUUGAAACAGCGAUUCCCGUACGUUCAUCGAAGUUAAACAGUGUUGCGCUUUGUUAGUAGUUAGAUGGGUGAUCGCUUGGGAAGA